CUUUAAGAGGAAGCCUGGUGAGAAUCUGAGAUGAUGUUCCUGCAGGGAAUGAGCCCCCAGAAGCAGGAAUCUCACCAAUCCCAAGGUUUCAGGACCAUGACUCAGAUUUCCAACCACAACAGUGAAGUAUGGGCCAGAUUUUGGCAGGAGGAUCCCGAGAAGCUGCUGAGGGGGAGGAUUGUGAAGCAUCCACAGUGCCUGAAACCAGGAGGAGCAGUCCUGCCACUGCCCUGCAUCUCCUGCACCCUGGGCUUUGCCCUGGGUCCACUGCAUGGUCUGGUCUGCCAUGCUGCUCAGCAUGGAUUAAUUCCCCCAUCCUGCUCAGAAAGGCACAGAUUUCCCUGCUAGCUGCAGUUCCCACUCAUUGAUGAUAGAUCCACCAGUGAGAGCCCCAGCCCUUUCCAACUGGUUUGUGUGUCCC
This 421-nucleotide long non-coding RNA is filed under the name Cyanistes caeruleus (blue tit). Its description in RNAcentral is "lncRNA (ENSCCEG00000013412.1)". The record is from RNAcentral. Lineage: Eukaryota; Metazoa; Chordata; Aves; Passeriformes; Paridae.